UACAGAGGUGGCAAGCGUUGUUCGGAAUUACUGGGCGUAAAGGGCGCGUAGGCGGCCUACUAAGUCAGACGUGAAAUCCCCCGGCUUAACCUGGGAACUGCGUCUGAUACUGGAAGGCUUGAGGAUGGGAGAGGGAUGUGGAAUUCCAGGUGUAGCGGUGAAAUGCGUAGAUAUCUGGAGGAAUACCGGUGGCGAAGGCGGCAUCCUGGACCAUUACUGACGCUGAGGCGCGAAAGCUAGGGGAGCAAACGGG
RNAcentral lists this ribosomal RNA (253 nucleotides) under uncultured bacterium. RNAcentral describes it as "partial 16S ribosomal RNA". It matches the Rfam family "Bacterial small subunit ribosomal RNA", at positions 524 to 776 of the family's 1533-position model. The record is from RNAcentral.